GAUUUCUGAUACGGUGCGCGUGGCCCGCCAUCGAAAGGUGUGCGAGUGUCGCUUGUGCGUCUAUCAUACUGCGAGGGAACCUAUCUCUCACGAGGUAGGAGAACUCGCUCAUUUACUUUGAAGAAAUUAGAGUGUUCAAAGCAGGCUUGCGCUAUGAAUAUAUUAGCAUGGAAUAAUAAUUUAGGACUUUGUUCCUAUUUUGUUGGUUUUAAGGAAUAAAGUAAUGAUUGAUAGGGAUAGUUGGGGGUGCUAGUAUUCACCGGCCAGAGGUGAAAUUCUUGGAUUCGGUGAAGACUAACUUAUGCGAAAGCAUU
This 314-nucleotide ribosomal RNA is filed under the name uncultured Paracercomonas. Its description in RNAcentral is "SSU rRNA". The stretch from base 104 to 314 matches the Rfam family "Eukaryotic small subunit ribosomal RNA", at positions 743 to 955 of the family's 1831-position model. The record is from RNAcentral. Lineage: Eukaryota; Cercozoa; Cercomonadida; Cercomonadidae.